UAAUACGUAGGGGGCAAGCGUUGUCCGGAUUUAUUGGGCGUAAAGAGCGUGUAGGCGGCCAAAUAGGUCGGUUGUGAAAACUGGAGGCUUAACCUCCAGACGUCGACCGAAACCAUCUGGCUAGAGUCCGGAAGAGGAGAGUGGAAUUCCUGGUGUAGCGGUGAAAUGCGCAGAUAUCAGGAAGAACACCCGUGGCGAAGGCGGCUCUCUGGGACGGUACUGACGCUGAGACGCGAAAGCGUGGGGAGCGAACAGGAUUAGA
Molecule: ribosomal RNA, 262 nt
Filed under: uncultured bacterium
Lineage: Bacteria
Description: partial 16S ribosomal RNA
Rfam family: Bacterial small subunit ribosomal RNA
Source: RNAcentral